This is an RNA transcript of Drosophila novamexicana, 488 nucleotides long. It is a transcript of the gene named transmembrane inner ear expressed protein, with no coding region annotated. The record is from RefSeq and is a predicted model, not a curated record. The transcript has 4 exons. Lineage: Eukaryota; Metazoa; Arthropoda; Insecta; Diptera; Drosophilidae.
AAACAAAAAAAAAAAUGGACGACGAUACGGAUAUCUUUGACAUAGAUCCAAAGGAAGCUUGGCUAGAAAAAAUCACCAUAGGCGGCUUUCGGCGCUGGCACAUCAUAGCCUCCGUUCUGGGCAUACUAAUGAGUAUUAUGAUAAUGGUCUGCUGCUGCAUACGCUUUCGCAUACCGCGCACCAAACAGGAAAUCGAAGCCGACUAUCAACGCAAACAGAUAACCAAAAAGUUUCGCGAAAAAUUGCAACAAAUCAAAAACUCCGAAAUGGACGAUAUGGAUCUGCAGAAAGCACUUGCUUAUAUCAAAUUGGAACAAUAUGAUGAUCCCUAGAGCCUUUCUAGAAAUUCACCAUAAAAAAAAAAAAAUAAGCACUAUUGGAAUAAAUUUGUACUUCUAUGCUAAUCUAUAUAAGAAAUCACUGCCAAUUCUGUGCGCGCAUUCAGAGCGAUUAUCUGAACCUGCAGGCGAGCGUGGAAAGCAUGAACG